This 301-nucleotide ribosomal RNA is filed under the name uncultured bacterium. RNAcentral describes it as "partial 16S ribosomal RNA". It matches the Rfam family "Bacterial small subunit ribosomal RNA", at positions 509 to 807 of the family's 1533-position model. The record is from RNAcentral.
CAGUCGCCACGGGAAUACGGAGGGUGCAAGCGUUAAUCGGAAUUACUGGGCGUAAAGCGUGCGUAGGCGGUUCGUUAAGUCUGUUGUGAAAGCCCCGGGCUCAACCUGGGAAUGGCAAUGGAUACUGGCGAGCUAGAGUGUGUCAGAGGAUGGUGGAAUUCCCGGUGUAGCGGUGGAAUGCGUAGAGAUCGGGAGGAACAUCAGUGGCGAAGGCGGCCAUCUGGGACAACACUGACGCUGAGGCACGAAAGCGUGGGGAGCAAACAGGAUUAGAUACCCCCGUAGUCCCUGUCUCUUAUAC